RNAcentral lists this ribosomal RNA (301 nucleotides) under uncultured bacterium. RNAcentral describes it as "partial 16S ribosomal RNA". It matches the Rfam family "Bacterial small subunit ribosomal RNA", at positions 509 to 807 of the family's 1533-position model. The record is from RNAcentral.
CAGUCGCCGCGGGAAUACGGAGGGUGCAAGCGUUAAUCGGAAUUACUGGGCGUAAAGCGUGCGUAGGUGGUGGUUUAAGUCCGUUGUGAAAGCCCUGGGCUCAACCUGGGAAUUGCAGUGGAUACUGGGUCACUAUAGUGUGGUAGAGGAUAGUGGAAUUUCCGGUGUAGCAGUGAAAUGCGUAGAGAUCGGAAGGAACAUCUGUGGCGAAGGCGACUAUCUGGGCCAACACUGACACUGAGGCACGAAAGCGUGGGGAGCAAACAGGAUUAGAUACCCUUGUAGUCCCUGUCUCUUAUAC